UCUAGAAUAAAUCCAUCAAUUUUGGUACAAUCCGACAGAGAAGUAUAGGGCGGAAGAAAAAUCAUUCUGCAUAGAUUCAUUUCACUCUAAAAUGAAAUUAGUGGUAUAUUCAUCUCUUUUUUGAAUGAAAGUGGUAGAUUCAUUUCAUCCUAACUCUACGUUGGAUCUAGUGACCUAAAAAUUAAUUUCUCCUAGGGUAGGCACCUAAAAUUUUGUAGGAUUUUCUUCUAGAAUUAAGUUUGCUUCAUGGGGAUGUCCUCUUUUGUCCUUCUCUACUA
RNAcentral lists this long non-coding RNA (278 nucleotides) under Elaeis guineensis (African oil palm). RNAcentral describes it as "long non-coding RNA (EGUI_LNC005567)". The record is from RNAcentral. Lineage: Eukaryota; Viridiplantae; Streptophyta; Magnoliopsida; Arecales; Arecaceae.